This is a long non-coding RNA of Daucus carota subsp. sativus, 1460 nucleotides long. RefSeq lists it as uncharacterized. Lineage: Eukaryota; Viridiplantae; Streptophyta; Magnoliopsida; Apiales; Apiaceae. The transcript is spliced from 4 exons. The record is from RefSeq and is a predicted model, not a curated record.
UUUCGUUUUCCCUCUUCUUCUCUGCCCAAAAUAUCCUUUAUCUCCGCCUCUCUCCCCUGAUUUCUCUCUUUAUUCUCUACUUCUCUUCUUUUCUUGCUUGAAUGAAAGCUUUCAUUGCCAUUCUCAGUUAUUAGGGUUUCGAUUUGAAGGUUUAAUUGUAGGCUUCUCAAUACACUUUCUCUGUCUCAAUCUUAUUCAAUUUUAGGGUUUUUUAAAAGGAGGCUCCUUUCUCUUAAGCCCCCUCUAUACCCUUCCCUUUUACUCACAGAUCUGUGUAUCUAUCUCUUUAGAUGGGUAAAUAUUCCAAGAAAUCAGCUUCUAAGGUGAAAGUAGCUCCAGCUGUUGUUGCUACUACGCCAUUGAAGAAAGCUUUGUGAAAUGAAUUCAUCAGAGCUCUUGCAGAUGCGGAAUCAUCGAAACAGGUUUUGUUUGUUGACUAAAAUCCAAACACAUGGUUCUUUCAAUAUAUUGGUGACUGAAGCUAUACAAAUUGGUGCCAGGGCUAUAAAGGAGAAUAGCACAAGUGUAGAUGGAGUUCGACGCUGAACUUUCUAAUAAAAUAUAGUUAUAUAUAUAUUAUGUAAUUUAAUUCCCAUAAUUAUUUGCAUUUUGCACUAAUUUAGAUUUUUAUUUAAUAUAUUUUCACGUUUUAUUAUAGAAAACAAGGAAUAAUAAUUUGAGAUGGAUUAGGGGAAAAAUAGAUAUUUUGGAGUUAAAUUCUACGGAAAUUCAAAUUUAUUGUGCUAUACCCAAUUUCUAAAUUUGUCUUUGCACUGGUCUUGUGGCUGUUUUGGUUUCUUCUAUGUUUAUCUGAAAUUAUAACUUUUGUUGUAUUUCCUACUAGUUCUUAUUUGUACAACUUACUGAAUUUUACAUAUCUUUUGCCACUUUAUUUACCAUUUUCUUGCUGAAACCUCGCUCAAUAAAGUUGUUUAUUUAUGAUGACACACUAAAAACUACUUGCCGAAUGUACCUCACUUUUUGCGCAAUCUUAUCCAUUCCAUUGAUAUAGUCUGAUAUAAGUGAGAAAUUUGGAGCAUCUGUCAGAAGUACAAGUGCUUUGUUUAACUGUAACAUUAGUGUUUGACUGACUGUUCUAGCUAGUCGUGGAAUGAAUUCAUACAAAUCUUUUUUUCAAGGUUCAAAUACAUUAUUUCAGGGGAUUAAAGAAUGUUUUAUGGGAUUUGGGUUAAUGGCUGCAAGUUGUGUUAUGGGAUUCAAACCUUAGGCCAGACAUAUAUUCUUGCUGAUCUACUAUAUCUAUUGCACGAGAACUUCACAAUUUGAUAGAGCAAAUUUGUUCUAUGUAUAAUGAUAUUUUUACCCUCUGCGCCCCUUUGCUUCCAAUCCCUCCCUUCCCUGUGAACUGCCUUUGCGACCUCCAUGACUCUUUAGCUCCCUCUUCCGCCGAAAUAUUGAUCCUACCCUGGAUUAUGCAUCGUUUCAGUUCUGAUUCCCUC